AGAGAUCAGCUGAUUGCAUCUAAUAUCGGUUAGAUUACUUCUGAUUUCUGUCUAACACGUGGAGUUCAUCUGGAGGGACGAGUUAGGCAAGCGACUGUGUGAUAUGCGAAGUUUAGAACAUUAUUGUAAAAUGAUAGCUUCGAGUUUUAUUCUCAUACAUAUUUGAUAUUUGAAACAAUCGGUGCUUGAAUUUUUAUUUUACAAUACAUAUAAAAAAGUUAUGUUAAAUAGCGGGUUAUAUCAUCGUAAUGGAAUAUAUCUCUGUCAAAAAAGAUAAUGUUAGUGCAUCACAAAAAUCAUCAAAAAUCGGCUUAUUUUUGAUUGCAGUCACAGGUGGAAUUGCAACGGCGAUUAGUGUCGUGUGUUUUCCAUUUAUAAGCCCUGCGUUUCGUAAGAUAUGUUUACCAUAUGUACCAGCCACGCAUCAACAAAUAAAAAAUGUUAUUCAAGCAUUAAACGGUCGCUCUGGUUCCUUAAUUGAUCUUGGUAGUGGAGAUGGAAGAAUUGUUCUUGCAGCAGCAAAGCAUGGUUUUAAGGCCCAUGGUAUUGAAUUAAAUACUUGGCUGGUGUGGUAUUCAAAAUUUAAAGCAUUGAUUAACGGUUUAUCAAAUGAUACUGCAUUUUUUAAGCAGGAUUUAUGGAAACAUAAUUUGGGAAAAUAUAAUAAUAUUGUUAUAUUUGGUGUAGAUCAAAUGAUGGAAGAUAUUGAAAAGAAAUUUAAUAACGAAUUAUACAAAGAUUCCCUUGUAAUUGCAUGUAGAUAUCCUCUUCCUAAUACAUGUCCUAUUACGACAAUUGGGCAUGGAAUUGACACUGUUUGGAUUUACAAGAUACGUUAGAGCUGAAUUGAGGAAUCACAAAGGUGCAGGAUGUGUCGGCCAACCAGCUGCAUUAUCUGCAAAACGAACAUACUUCAUUACAGAACGAUCCACAAGGAUUUGCAUUCUCGCGUGCGCACAUUUACAACGAGGAUACUUACCAUAAAUAAAAUUCACGCUAUUGUACAAGAAAUUAGCCAUCAAUAUCCAAUAAGCUAUAGUUGCGCCCAGCAGCACGGCAAUACUAAAUAUUUUGGCAAUAUAUUCCGCCCAUUUGCCGAGGUAUAUUCUACUCAAGUCUAGGACCUCUAUAUUUUCUCCUCCACCUUCGAAAAUGGAAACGAUCGAUUCGUAACAUUAUAUCGGUCGAUGUUACACGGCUCGUAAUUCUUCUCGUGGACGAGAUUCACGAUGCAAGGCGAGUGCGCCGCUGCCGAAAGAUAUAACUCGUUCCGCGUUAGGGGGGGCGGCCUUUUCGGUACAGCUGUUAGGGUUGUGCUAUAACUGGCGGCGUCGAUGCUCCCAUAUCUAGGCAACACAACGAAGAUGUGUCAACACAAGUCACGCUUCAAAUUACAGCCGAUGAUUAAAGAGGAUCCAAAAACCACACGAAAAGUUAUCGUAAACUUAGCUGAACGAUAUUCGAUAUUAGUGAACCUUCCGCGAUUCUGUGUGAGUCGUAGCGUAAAUUGAA
Molecule: RNA transcript, 1512 nt
Organism: Formica exsecta
Lineage: Eukaryota; Metazoa; Arthropoda; Insecta; Hymenoptera; Formicidae
Gene name: protein N-lysine methyltransferase FAM173B
Exons: 7
Source: RefSeq, a predicted model, not a curated record